GACGAACGCUGGCGGCGUGCUUAACACAUGCAAGUCGAACGGAAAGGCCCUGCUUUUGUGGGGUGCUCGAGUGGCGAACGGGUGAGUAACACGUGAGUAACCUGCCCUUGACUUUGGGAUAACUUCAGGAAACUGGGGCUAAUACCGGAUAGGAGCUCCUGCUGCAUGGUGGGGGUUGGAAAGUUUCGGCGGUUGGGGAUGGACUCGCGGCUUAUCAGCUUGUUGGUGGGGUAGUGGCUUACCAAGGCUUUGACGGGUAGCCGGCCUGAGAGGGUGACCGGCCACAUUGGGACUGAGAUACGGCCCAGACUCCUACGGGAGGCAGCGGUGGGGAAUAUUGCACAAUGGGUGGAAGCCUGAUGCAGCAACGCCGCGUGCGGGAUGACGGCCUUCGGGUUGUAAACCGCUUUCGCCUGUGACGAAGCGUGAGUGACGGUAAUGGGUAAAGAAGCACCGGCUAACUACGUG
RNAcentral lists this ribosomal RNA (468 nucleotides) under uncultured bacterium. RNAcentral describes it as "partial 16S ribosomal RNA". It matches the Rfam family "Bacterial small subunit ribosomal RNA", at positions 28 to 507 of the family's 1533-position model. The record is from RNAcentral.